RNAcentral lists this ribosomal RNA (204 nucleotides) under uncultured bacterium. Its description in RNAcentral is "partial 16S ribosomal RNA". It matches the Rfam family "Bacterial small subunit ribosomal RNA", at positions 152 to 353 of the family's 1533-position model. The record is from RNAcentral.
GAAAUAAGCUGCUAAUAACCGCAUAAGCGCACGGUUCCGCAUGGAACAGUGUGAAAAACUCCGGUGGUGUGAGAUGGACCCGCGUCUGAUUAGCCAGUUGGCGGGGUAACGGCCCACCAAAGCGACGAUCAGUAGUCGGCCUGAGAGGGUGAACGGCCACAUUGGGACUGAGACACGGCCCAAACUCCUACGGGAGGCAGCAUG